This 546-nucleotide ribosomal RNA is filed under the name uncultured bacterium. RNAcentral's name for it is "partial 16S ribosomal RNA". It matches the Rfam family "Bacterial small subunit ribosomal RNA", at positions 355 to 895 of the family's 1533-position model. The record is from RNAcentral.
UGGGGAAUUUUGGACAAUGGGGGAAACCCUGAUCCAGCCAUCCCGCGUGUGCGAUGAAGGCCUUCGGGUUGUAAAGCACUUUUGGCAGGAAAGAAACGUCGCGGGUUAAUACCCCGCGAAACUGACGGUACCUGCAGAAUAAGCACCGGCUAACUACGUGCCAGCAGCCGCGGUAAUACGUAGGGUGCAAGCGUUAAUCGGAAUUACUGGGCGUAAAGCGUGCGCAGGCGGUUCGGAAAGAAAGAUGUGAAAUCCCAGAGCUUAACUUUGGAACUGCAUUUUUAACUACCGGGCUAGAGUGUGUCAGAGGGAGGUGGAAUUCCGCGUGUAGCAGUGAAAUGCGUAGAUAUGCGGAGGAACACCGAUGGCGAAGGCAGCCUCCUGGGAUAACACUGACGCUCAUGCACGAAAGCGUGGGGAGCAAACAGGAUUAGAUACCCUGGUAGUCCACGCCCUAAACGAUGUCAACUAGCUGUUGGGGCCUUCGGGCCUUGGUAGCGCAGCUAACGCGUAAGUUGACCGCCUGGGGAGUACGGUCGCAAGAUU